RNAcentral lists this ribosomal RNA (238 nucleotides) under uncultured bacterium. RNAcentral describes it as "partial 16S ribosomal RNA". It matches the Rfam family "Bacterial small subunit ribosomal RNA", at positions 15 to 235 of the family's 1533-position model. The record is from RNAcentral.
GAUCAUGGCUCAGGAUGAACGCUGGCGGCGUGCUUAACACAUGCAAGUCGAACGAAGCACUUUAACCUGAUUCUUCGGAUGAAGGUUUUUGUGACUGAGUGGCGGACGGGUGAGUAACGCGUAUCCAACCUGCCCACCACUUGGGGAUAACCUUGCGAAAGUAAGACUAAUACCCAAUGAUAUCUCUAGAAGACAUCUGAAAGAGAUUAAAGAUUCAUCGGUGAUGGAUGGGGAUGCG